GAUGAACGCUGGCGGCGUGCCUAAUACAUGCAAGUCGAGCGAACAGACGAGGAGCUUGCUCCUCUGACGUUAGCGGCGGACGGGUGAGUAACACGUGGAUAACCUACCUAUAAGACUGGGAUAACUUCGGGAAACCGGAGCUAAUACCGGAUAAUAUAUUGAACCGCAUGGUUCAAUAGUGAAAGACGGUUUUGCUGUCACUUAUAGAUGGAUCCGCGCCGCAUUAGCUAGUUGGUGAGGUAACGGCUUACCAAGGCAACGAUGCGUAGCCGACCUGAGAGGGGGACCGGCCAACCUGAAAGUGAGACACGGUCCAGACUCCUAGGGGAGGCAGCAGUAGGGAAUCGUCCGCAAUGGGCGAAAGCUUGACGGAGCAACGCCGGGUGGGUGAUGAAGGUCUGCGGAUCGUAAAACGCUGUUAUUGGGGAAAAACAAAUGUGUAAGUAACGAUGCACGUCUGGAGGGAACCUAAGCAGAAGGCCACGGUAACUUCCUU
Molecule: ribosomal RNA, 496 nt
Filed under: uncultured bacterium
Lineage: Bacteria
Description: partial 16S ribosomal RNA
Rfam family: Bacterial small subunit ribosomal RNA
Source: RNAcentral